UCAGAACGAACGCUGGCGGCAGGCUUAACACAUGCAAGUCGAGCGCUUAUUUUUAAUAGGAGCGGCAGACGGGUGAGUAACGCGUGGGAAUCUACCUUUUUCUACGGGAUAACGCACGGAAACGUGUGCUAAUACCGUAUACGCCCUGAGAAGGGGAAAGAUUUAUUGGAGAGAGAUGAGCCCGCGUUAGAUUAGCUAGUUGGUGGGGUAAAUGCCUACCAAGGCUACGAUCUAUAGCUGGUCUGAGAGGACGAUCAGCCACACUGGGACUGAGACACGGCCCAGACUCCUACGGGAGGCAGCAGUGGGGAAUAUUGGACAAUGGGGGCAACCC
Molecule: ribosomal RNA, 334 nt
Filed under: Candidatus Liberibacter solanacearum
Lineage: Bacteria; Pseudomonadati; Pseudomonadota; Alphaproteobacteria; Hyphomicrobiales; Rhizobiaceae
Description: bacterial SSU rRNA
Rfam family: Bacterial small subunit ribosomal RNA
Source: RNAcentral